GGAGUUAGCCGGUGCUUCUUCUGCGAGUAACGUCACAGAUGUAAGGUAUUAACUUACACCCUUUCCUCCUCGCUGAAAGUGCUUUACAACCCGAAGGCCUUCUUCACACACGCGGCAUGGCUGCAUCAGGGUUUCCCCCAUUGUGCAAUAUUCCCCACUGCUGCCUCCCGUAGGAGUCUGGGCCGUGUCUCAGUCCCAGUGUGGCUGAUCAUACUCUCAGACCAGCUAGGGAUCGUCGCCUAGGUGAGCCUUUACCUCACCUACUAGCUAAUCCCACCUGGGCUUAUCCAUCAGCGCAAGGCCCGAAGGUCCCCUGCUUUCCCCCGUAGGGCGUAUGCGGUAUUAGCAGUCGUUUCCAACUGUUAUCCCCCACAAAUGGGCAAAUUCCCAGGCAUUACUCACCCGUCCGCCGCUCGUCAUCUUCAAAAGCAAGCUUUUAGAAAUGUUACCGCUCGACUUGCAUGUGUUAGGCCUGCCGCCAGCGUUCAAUCUGAGCCAGAAUCGAACCCUGA
Molecule: ribosomal RNA, 512 nt
Filed under: uncultured bacterium
Lineage: Bacteria
Description: partial 16S ribosomal RNA
Source: RNAcentral